UCUAGAACUCGAGAUAUGGGCUGAACACUGAACAUUGUCUGGGCUGGAUGACAGAUUCCAACAUCUCUUUUGUUGCUACAAUUUGAGCUUUGAAACGGCUGUUUUGAAUAUUGAACUCCUCAUGAAAGUUUUAGGUCUAUGUCUUAGCUUUUCAUC
Non-coding RNA from Populus trichocarpa (black cottonwood), 156 nucleotides. The record is from Rfam. Lineage: Eukaryota; Viridiplantae; Streptophyta; Magnoliopsida; Malpighiales; Salicaceae.